UACGAAGGGUGCAAGCGUUAAUCGGAAUUACUGGGCGUAAAGCGUGCGCAGGCGGCUUUGCAAGACAGAUGUGAAAUCCCCGGGCUCAACCUGGGAACUGCAUUUGUGACUGCAAGGCUAGAGUACGGCAGAGGGGGAUGGAAUUCCGCGUGUAGCAGUGAAAUGCGUAGAUAUGCGGAGGAACACCAAUGGCGAAGGCAAUCCCCUGGGCCUGUACUGACGCUCAUGCACGAAAGCGUGGGGAGCAAACAGG
This 253-nucleotide ribosomal RNA is filed under the name uncultured bacterium. Its description in RNAcentral is "partial 16S ribosomal RNA". It matches the Rfam family "Bacterial small subunit ribosomal RNA", at positions 524 to 776 of the family's 1533-position model. The record is from RNAcentral.